UUUUUAAUGUCCAUUUUGGUAAAUUGUAGGCUAUUUUCUAUUCUUAUAAGAACUUUUGUUGGGAACUGUUUGAUGAGCAAAUUAAAUCAUCUUACAUUGUGAAAACCAUUAGUGAGAUUCUGUGUCACCUUCACAGUCUCAUCUCCGGGAACUGGAGCAAGAAGCCCAUUGUGUUGCAGGAGAGCACUUUCUUAUAACAAGUAGUAAUCAGCUCCGAGAGAUCCUCUUUGGCAAGCUAAAGCUACACCUGCUGAGUCCCAGGGAGACUCUUCCCAGAACAGGGCUGCAGAGACUUCCAUCCACGUCAGAAGCCGUGUUAAGUGCUGUGCAGGACCUUCAUCCAUUACCCAAGAUAAUUUUGGAAUAUAGACGGCAGUAGCCCUGGCAGCGUUCUGAGGGGAACAGAGCUUGUUCAAGCCGGCCUGGUUCCAGCGCUGCUCUCGUGCACCCCGCUCGGCACCGAGCCAGAGGGUCCCACGGCGACGAGGACGGAUGAAGGUUCACAAGACCAAAUCAGCCUUUGUGGAUGGAUGACUAGCUUGCAUGAGAAAGGUGACUGAGCUAAACGAGAUCCUGUGCCCAGGAAUGUGGUUUCCGCGUGGCAUCAGAUACAUGUACAAUUCCCUGAAAUUUUAGUUAACGAUGAAAUCACCAAAUAUUCUUGAGCUGUGAGCCAUGAUUUUUUUUUUUUUUGAAGAUUUUAUUUAUUUAUUUGAGAGAGAGAGAAUGAGAGGGGGGAGGGUCAGAGGGAGAAGCAGACCCCCUGCCGAGCAGGGAGCCCGAUGCGGGACUUGAUCCCGGGACUCCAGGAUCAUGACCUGAGCCGAAGGCAGUCGCUUAACCAACUGAGCCACCCAGGCGCCUGAGCCAUGAUUUUGUUAUUACUUGGGUCUCUUUAUAGCCUGAGUGGUCAUCAUGCCUUCGGACCUGGAGCUGCACGUAUGCCGAAGCCCUGGGCUUCCCCAGGCACUGUGACACCUGUCACUGAGCCUCUUCCCGUGCCCAUUGCAGGGAAGGAGGAGGAGCCUGCAGGCAGGGGUAUUCCAUCUGGGCCCCUGUCUUGGCUGCACAGCCCCGCCUGGAGUCCAUGCUGAGCCCCUGUGGCACAUGGUCCUCCUCUCCCCGUGCUCAGGGGCUUGAAGGGACCUGAAGGCCCACAUGUCCUGUUGCAGUUUUUGCAUGGGUUAGGGGAACCUCCUUGUUGGUCAGCAGUUGGCUGACACCCAGAGACCUUUCAGGGUUGGGGGCUUCGGGCCAGCAGCUUGUGGACGUCUGCAGGAGAGCAGUGAGUGUGUGCUGUGUGCAGGGAGACUAAGGGUCACUGUGCUCUUGACUUCACGUGCCAUUGCCAGCGCUGAAACUGAUUCUUCUUAACUGAUAAAGGGCUCCAUUUCCUCUACGUGGAAUCAGACUGGAACUGUGACUGGAAGACUUUCAGCCAGGCAUCCGGUAAGUUAGCGCCCCUUGGUAGACGCCAGUUUCUGUGCCUCAGAGUUGAGUUUUUGCCUAUAUGUGUGUUUGCCUGUGCACUUUCUGUUUCUAAGAGAGGGCCCCAUGUAGAUAGAUGUGUUUUACUCUGUUUAUCCACUCAGCUAAUACCCACUUAGCACCUGCUGUGUUUUAGGAACAUAGUGGGGGAAUAAGACACAUGGUCCCUGCCGUCAUGAUGUGUUGAGUUAGUGAGGGGUCCUUUCCAUCCAGAGAGUCAUGUGUGCUGGGGCUGAGGGCAAAAGGGACACCCCCUUCCCACUUCCCCUUCCUCGUCUUCAGAUUUGUACUGGACAGGAAGCUUCUGAGGUCCAGAGAUGUGUUGAAAUGUCUGAUGCUCUGAUGACCUCCUCCAUUUCUUUGUUGUUGUUCCAGACUGUCUCUGAUGAAAAAAGCUAUAAAUACCCUUGAAUUUAUGAUGCAGCUUUAAUAACACUCAAAGCAAUUAGCUUUUUAAAUGGCUUUAUAUUUUUGAAUUAAAGAUGAUUCAUUACUAAUUUUUCAUCGCAGAACAGUCCCUUAAGUACAGAAAUGUAAAAACAAACAAACAAAAACUAAUAAGUCACUUAUUAUUCCACCAUGCAGUAUUAACUGUGGUUAACAUUUUGGUGUCUAUCCUUAUUGACUUUUUGCCAAGUACAUAUAUUUAUAAAAUACUGUUUUUCUACCAAAAUAAAACCUCACUUUUAUACUUCUCAAUUUUGUUUAUGAUGUCUUGAUAUCAUACAUUAAUAUUGACCUGAAUCUAUAUUUAGAUUUGAACAUUUGAAUUAUUUAAACAUAUGAAUUGAAUACAUUAAUUAUUUAAAUAUGCACUGUAAAAAUAUAUACAUAUGAGUAUAUAUUUGUGAUAAAUUCAAAUAGUGUGGACAUGGGUGGAAAAAAACUUCAGUGCCCUUUCCUUUCCCUUCACGACACGUCUGUCUACCCCGUGGGUCCCCUGUCACUGGUCUGAACUGCAUCCUGCCAGCCUUCAUCUGGCCUUUACGUGUGUGGGUGCCCAGUGCUCACAGCUGGUGGUCAUGUGGGGCUGGGUGGGCUCACACCUGCAGGAGCCGCAGCCCUGCUCAGGGCCCUACGCUCUCUGGACGUCGCACCCACCUUAGGAAGGCCUUUCUCUGGACACCCCACUUUAGAGAGCUCUUCUGCGGUCUUUACCACAAGCAGCACUAAGACUAGUGCCUCCUCUGAAGGCAAGUGCCUGCUGCACCUUUUCUCUUAGCUGCUGCUUCUCAUCAAAGAGUAAUUUAUGAGUUCUACUGGGAAAACGCACUGGUUUUUUUUAUUUGUUUGUUUGUUUUUUCAAAGAGCGAGAGAGGGAACACAAGCAGGGGGAGUGGGAGGGGGAGAAGCAGGCUUCCCGCCGAGCAGGGAGCC
RNA transcript from Mirounga angustirostris (Northern elephant seal), 2865 nucleotides. RefSeq lists it as uncharacterized. Lineage: Eukaryota; Metazoa; Chordata; Mammalia; Carnivora; Phocidae. The transcript is spliced from 5 exons. The record is from RefSeq and is a predicted model, not a curated record.